GAGACUAUCUCUAAAACAGAAAAAAAAGUAAAAGACAAAAUAAUUAUAAAUAGCAUGAAUCUGGCAGUGAACCUAAGGAUAACAACUUAAAAAAGAAACGUCAAGGAUAAGUUCACGAAAUUUUAGUACUCCAGUAAGACCUUUAGAAAAGCAGUCAGGUUUGGCCAGGUGCGCACCGGUGGCUCACAUCGGUAAUCCUAGCACUUUGGGAGGCCGAGGCGGGUGGAUCAUGAGGUCAGGAGUUCAGGACCAGCCUGGCCAAGAUGGUGAAACCCCGUCUCUACUAAAAAUACAAAAACUAGCUGGGCGUGGUGCAUGCCUGUAAUCCCAGCUACUCAGGAGGCUGAGGCAGAGAAGUGCUUAAACCCAGGAGGUGGAGGUAGCAGUGAGCCAAGAUCGUGCCACUGCACUCCAGCCUGGGUGACAGAGCAAGACUCUGUCUAAAAAAAAAGAAAAGAAAAGCAGUCAGUUUUGUGCCUUAUUUUUGUACCUAUGGGGGAAUUCUCAAAACUACCCAACUAACUCUGUUUUUAUUUAAAGGUCUGCUUGCUUUCCAGAAGUAUGCCAUAAUUGACAGCACCACAAAAGCUGAAGAGUUGACAAGGUCUCGCUCUGUCAUCCAGGCUGGAGUGCAGUGGCUCAAUCAAGGCUCACUGCAACCUCGACCUCCUGGACCCAAGCAAUCCUCCCACCUCAGCCACCUGAGUAGCUGGAACUACAGGCAUGCGCUACCACACCGGGCUCAUUUUUCUAUUUUUUGUAGAGAUGGGGUCUCUCUCCCUACAUUGCCCAGGCUGGGCUCAAACUCCUGGCCUCAACUGGCCCACCCGCCUCUGCCUCCCAAAGUUUUGGGAUUAUAGGCAAUGAGCCACCACGCCCAGCCAAGGGUUUCACUCUGUGGCCCAGGCUGGAGUGCAGGGGUGCAAUCAACAAAGUAAUUCAUUUUUAAGAAAGCUCUGAUCUACAAGCCUUAGGGACUUGUCUACUUACCAAAGUGAAGCAUACCCAUAUAAUGACAACUACCUCUGCUGAUCUGCAAGAUUUUAUAAUAGGAAAUCUUCUUUACAACAAGAAGUAUGUGGCUUAUAAAUAAUAUAUAAUAAAACAUUUAUGCUAUGAUGACAAAAUUAGUCUUAUUCUUGCCAUCAAAUAUGUAUUUGACAAUGAAACUGCUAUCUGUAUUGAAUGACUAUAUAAUUUGUUUGCCAUAUGGCAAGUACAUAAGCACUGCAUACUUUGUGAAACAGUGUAUUUCCACAGAACAGCAGUGUAUUAAAACAUUCUAAAUAUUAAGAAAAAGAAAAUCAAUUUUGUAAAUUACCCAUUGUAAAGCACAGAAACAAAAACUGUUUUCAGAAUGCCAGAAUAUAAAAAGAAUCUGGUCGGUAUCCUAAAGUUGCUACCAAACAUGAAGCUGUAUAUAUUUUGAAUAUUCAAAAUCAUAACUGGUCAAAGAAUAUUAAGUGUAAUAAAGAAUUUGCAGAAUUAGAA
Molecule: long non-coding RNA, 1491 nt
Organism: Pongo pygmaeus (Bornean orangutan)
Lineage: Eukaryota; Metazoa; Chordata; Mammalia; Primates; Hominidae
Exons: 3
Source: RefSeq, a predicted model, not a curated record